AUGGAUAGGUUAGAUUAGAUUGUUCUGAUAAAAAAAAUCAAUAAGCGGUUCAGAUGGGAGCUUUACAAAUGCUAAACAAUUCACUCCAGUCAUGAACUGAGAAACAUCCUGAUUCACUUCUGUAUCUGCAUUAUUUUUUGUAGUGGUCAGAAUUGCUCUGGCUUUCAGAUAACAUCCCAACCUGCACUGCUAUGGAACUCCAGGGAACCAAAUCCUAGACGUAAAAACAAAACUUUAUCUGAUGUGUACCAGAUAACACAGGCCAGAUUUGUAGUUUUUUUUCACAAGCAGGAGGGAAAGGAGUCAUUUGUGAGCCAGAGCCAUUGAAGGAGAGGGAACAUGAGAGAACUGGAGCAGAAGUCAUGCAAGGAAGCUAGAGCUCUGGGAAGUUCAGCCUCCUUGACCCAGGCAGGCCAACUGCUGAACCCAUGGAUCAAUGGGGCUCAACGUGGGUGCAGCUUUCAGCCCAUGCACAAGGAAUUGCAGGAGUGGAGCAUUACACCAGUGCAACGUGAGUGUAAAAUUCUCCCCUGCUGAUCAGGUAGCGUUUCUAUCUGCAGUGCAUUAUCAAUAGGGAGAUCCAAAUCUGGAGCUUGCGAUCUAAAAACCUGCUAUUACUGAUCCAGCCCUGCGAGCCCAAAAGCUGUGGCAGAUUCACAUCAUAAACCUCUCUAUGGUCCCCAGCCACUAGAAGGGGACAGACAGCCACAUUGUAAGGCUGCGUCUACACUAUUUGCUGGGGUGUGAUUUUCCCUGCUCAUGCACACAUACUUGCAUUAGCUCUCAUCACGGAUCGCAGCAGCAGAGGCAGGUCUGAACCUUUCUGAGCCGUGCCAAGUACAAACCCACCUGAACCCAUUAGGUGUGUACACAGCACAGCUCAGCUAUGCCUCCUCUGCCACUACUUGUGCUACUACAGCAGCACUGCUGUUUACACUCAUGCUAACACGAUGAGACCUAGUGUGAGUAUGUGCACACGAGCAGAGCUCUUAGAAUACACAGCCUAAUUGUGAGUCACGCACUCACUUUGCACUGGUGUAACUGACUGCCUGUGAAGUGGCAGUGGUGCAGUUGGCACUUUUCAUUAUACAUUUGAUAAGUAACACUUACACUGCAUUAACUUUGCAUCUUUUUUACCACCUAGUUUAUUUGCCUUUGGGAAGGAGCACAUGGAUCUAUCUAUCUUUCAAGCAAUACCGUCUCUCACCUCAGUUAUCCGGUUUGUCUGACACCAAAGCAGCUUCUCUGCUUUGAGCAGACCAACUCCUAUGUUUGUUUAUAUCACAAUUUUCUGAUUUUGCGAUGAUCAUAUGUUUAAAUUGCAUGAUAACACGGUGGGGGGGAUUUCAGUAUUUAAGUUGAUAAUCCAUUUGAUUC
RNAcentral lists this long non-coding RNA (1377 nucleotides) under Chrysemys picta bellii (western painted turtle). RNAcentral describes it as "lncRNA (ENSCPBG00000008173.1)". The record is from RNAcentral. Lineage: Eukaryota; Metazoa; Chordata; Testudines; Emydidae.